GAUGAACGCUGGCGGCGUGCUUAACACAUGCAAGUCGAACGGAAAGGCUCCUGCUUGCUGGGGUACUCGAGUGGCGAACGGGUGAGUAACACGUGGGUGAUCUGCCCUGCACUUCGGGAUAAGCCUGGGAAACUGGGUCUAAUACCGGAUAGGACGAUGGUUUGGAUGCCAUUGUGGAAAGUUUUUUCGGUGUGGGAUGAGCUCGCGGCCUAUCAGCGUGUUGGUGGGGUAAUGGCCUACCAAGGCGUCGACGGGUAGCCGGCCUGAGAGGGUGUACGGCCACAUUGGGACUGAGGUACGGCCCAGACUCCUACGGGAGGCAGCAGUGGGGAAUAUUGCACAAUGGGCGCAAGCCUGAUGCAGCGACGCCGCGUGGGGGAUGACGGCCUUCGGGUUGUAAACUCCUUUCGCUAGGGACGAAGCGAAAGUGACGGUACCUGGAGAAGAAGCACCGGCUAACUACGUG
RNAcentral lists this ribosomal RNA (466 nucleotides) under uncultured bacterium. RNAcentral describes it as "partial 16S ribosomal RNA". It matches the Rfam family "Bacterial small subunit ribosomal RNA", at positions 28 to 507 of the family's 1533-position model. The record is from RNAcentral.